UGUAACAUGCAGUAACUCAGUACAGAUAAUAUAUUAAUAUUUAUGUCAAUGAUUAUUUCUGCAAGAAUGAAUUAAAUCCAUAAAUGUAUAAAAACCAAGAAUAAAGUGCUAAUGAAAUUUCAACUCAAAAUAAAUCAGACGGAUAAAUGAAUGCGUAAUGAGCACGAAAUUGAAAUUUUAGAUAAAAGCGAGCGAGAUAAAUUAAUAAACCUGUUUUCGUUAUAAAAAUAACGAUAGUAACGAUUGCGUAAUCCUACUGCUCUUAUUUUUAUACAUUUGAUAUAAGCGCGUAGAAAAAUAUAGUAAUAAUUCGAUUUUAUACCAGCAGCUAUACGCGUUCCUCACACACACACAUUGUCCCGCGUCCUAGUUUUCGUAUCUCUUUUUUCACUCCCCUAUUUUCGCCCCCUAAACGCGCAUCCAAUAUCCUUUAAUAAGUGCGGAUAAUACAUAUCCAUAGCCGGACGACGCGCGUACAUUCUUGCUACUUUAUAUCGAAGUAGAUGUGUGUUCUACUAGCUUUUGGAGGCGCGUAGGCGUAUUUUUCGUCGUGUGAAAACGAAAUCAUCCCUCAUAUCCCAACCUGAAAAACCAACCGAUUUCUACCUACCUACACUCGAUCAGCGAAAGCGUUUUUAUCGAUGAGCGCCCUUUUCUUCCUCGCAAUAUUCAACAAAAGUAUUUCGCCACGUUUUAAUACAUUUCUUUGAAAAUUUAUUUCUUACGUGUAAAUUCCCGUAAAGGAUUUAUCGCGUUUGCGGGAAGAAUAAUGUAUGGCAAAGACUUUUUCCUUUUCACGCGGCCGUUUACGCCGGGUACUACAAUAGUAAUCCUUCUAACGGCGAAAUCGCGAGAAGAACAGCGGAUAUAAAUGAUUCAUAUCCCGACGAGAGGAUGAUGAAUCCGCCCAGCGGUAAAACGCGUUUUUACCGAUACGAGCGUGUUGGUUACACCACAGCACGGAGAAAGAACUCCCGAGUCCCGAGUAUCGUUUUAGAAAAGGCAGAGAGAACCCGUUUCCCGAAAAUGCAAGGGGAAACCAAUCUGCUCCGCGAAGGGGCUGCAUUUCCUUUUCAUUGUGCCCUUCACGCGAAUACUCGUGUCUUCCCGGUGUGUGACCAAUAUCAAAGACACGGUUUAUGUCAAAGGACGUAACACACAUAUAUAUAUAUAUAUAUAUAUGCGUGUGCCGUCUUGCCUUCGAAAAAAAGAGUGAUCUCACGCGUACGUCGUGACGCGAUCUCGUCAAUCUUGUUAAUCGUAAGUAGAGCAACUAUAGUGAAGAAAGAAAGAAAGAGAACGCGCGAGAGUAAUUAGCUGAAUCGGGGUAACUCUAAAAUAGAUCGUAGCGAAUUUUUUACCAUCCAUGUCGGUAACGCGGAUGAUAUACGCGCCUAUACUCUUUGUCACUUUUUCCCCCGCGUACACGGAGGGGGGGGGAGGGGGAGGGGGGGGCAGGUGUACGGAUACACGAGAGCUAAGAAUAUUCCUCGCUAAAUGUGAUAGUAGAGUGAGUCUAUCUCUUCCGGCAGACGUUGUAGAAGCAAUAAAAAGCGAGCCGAAGGCAGCGAGCCGAGGAUUAAAGCGUAACUAAAGCGAUUGCUUUACCCGUACGCUCAUCCCUCACCAAUCCCGGACUCGCUUCUUCAUCCCCGAAGAAAAAAAAAAAGAACGAAAGAAAGAGAGAAAAAAAAGGAUCCUCUAUUCGCCGAAAAGGUACGCUCGAAGAAUCGAGGAGGUGGCUAUUAACCCUCUCCUCUCUCCCUCCCUCCCUCCUUCACGAUCGGCCCUUUUCCCCUCCUCCUAUCCCUCGUAUGAUUUUUCGGGGGUGUGCCCAAAGAAUAAACGAAGUAUAUACACCACCCCUUCCCUUUCGCACUCCGCGCUCCUUUCCAGGCGCUUUCUCCGUGCGAUCAUCCUCAUCUCCCUCCCCCCAUCAUUCUCCGAAAUCCCCCAUUUCUCGAUCGUAACGAUCGAUUCGACAUAACCCGAGUGCCUUAAUCCGAUCUCUAUGCCCAUCUUACUCUUCACGUGUAACGAAAGAAAGAAAUGGAUGGGAAGACCCCCUGGGACGCUCGCGAUUUAGACGCAUAUUAAUUUCUAUAGGCAGUAGAAUUGAGUGUCGAUUGCUAGAGAGAACGCGAGAACAAGGCUGGCGAACCGAGGCGGCUGUUCCGAGGGACGGUGCAACACGGCGGAACCAGUGUACCUUUACUCCUCGCUGUUAAUACGAAGAGAAGACGUAUCACGUAUUGUAUAGUAAAUGUCGCUCGUAGUAUUAGCGAUAGAGACUCGUCGAUGGUGUAGGCGUAGUUAUGUGCAUAAUUGCGACUUUUGGAGUUAAUCUCUGGACAGAGUCGGUCUCGAAAGUCGUCGGGUUCGCGAUCGCGGGAAACGACUCGGGGGAAAUCGGGAUUUUCUCGAGGGAAGUUUCCCGCGUGAGAAACCUACUUACCAAAGAGACACAUUGUGAUAGAUAUACAAAGAUCUCAAAGCGAAAAACCGUAAGAGACGGUGUUGUUGAUUCGACGAAACAUGUCGGUUCCGAGACUUCCUCGAUUCCGAUUCUGGACAUUACGUUAUUGACUGAUACUCAGCGUGGAGACGAUCGCGUUUCGAUCGUGAUUUCAAGAAGACGGAGACAUCAGGGAAAUCGCUUGAAGAAAAAAAGAGAAGGCAACAUACGAUUCAAAUUCAAAAAUCGCGCAAGUAGAAUUUUCAGUAGUCUAUGGUGGUUCAGUAGUAAAACCCGGUAUUAUAUAUAUAUAUAUAUAUAUAUGUCAAAAUGGAAUGUUACGUUUUUUUUUCCCGCACUAUUUAUCGCACUUUGAUGUAGGAUACGCCGGGAUGUUUGACAAUUUUGUGAUUCAUACGACAGUCGAUGGAAACGUAUCGUUCCCACGGCGUUAGUCUACUAUUAUAAAAUACUGUCGUGUCGGGGCUACUCGUUGAUAGGAAAACGCCUGUAUCGAGGCUACAACGAGGACGCACCGUGCAUGUGUAACGAUUUGUAUAUACUAACAUAUUUCUGGGCGGCCGUCUCGGGUUCGCGAUGGAUUUUCAAUGGGAAUCUGUGCCAUACUGCAUUCAAAGUUCCGAAAAUAAAAUUAGAAAAUAUUUUCUAGGGAAGAAAAAGUAUCUCUGAAAGUAAAUUUAGAUAAAAUAAUAUUUAUUCUCGGUGACAACAAUUUUUUUCUGUCUUUUGCGUUAUUUUUUAAAUUUCCAUAGUUACGAGAUUUCGAAUACUUCAUACGUUACGAAUAUUUACGAUCUGCUUAAGAGGGUCUGUGUAUGAAUAUAUGAAACGUGUCAUGAUUGAUGCAUCCUAUCGCGAUGCGAGACGGUCGUGUCAUAAGAGGCAGUGAGGCCUUACGUAAUCGCAUGUGUGAUUUAAACAAAUAUAUAUCAUUAAAUAUCUGUAAUGGUUCAUCGUUAUUGCUGUCAUCCAACACCACUGUCACCAAUCAUCUUUCAUCACCAUCAUUCUCAUCAUCAUCAGUACUGACACAUUUACCAGCAAGUGAGAUUGUUGAAAAAAAAAAAAA
Molecule: long non-coding RNA, 3545 nt
Organism: Pogonomyrmex barbatus (red harvester ant)
Lineage: Eukaryota; Metazoa; Arthropoda; Insecta; Hymenoptera; Formicidae
Source: RefSeq, a predicted model, not a curated record